GAGGUAGCAGCGCGCAGAUAAUGAUUCUUUUGGGAGAUGAAUAGCCUCUUUUGCUCCUUCCACAAGGCUCUAUAUUCUGCUUCAGUAGUUGAUAGAGCAACGGUGGGUUGUUUCUUGCUGGCCGAAGAGGUGGCGCCCCCUGCCGGUGAGAAAGUGAACCCCCAGUGCUGCGACAUGAGUCUUUACAGGCAGCCCAGUCUGCAUCCGUGAAACCUUCAAAUUGAGUGAUAGGCUGGCUGUGAGUGAAACCAAUAGGAGAAUAUGCUGCGUGAGGAUUUUUGGAGUGGACGAUGCCAAAAUCAAGGGUAUCCUUGAGGUACCUGAGGAUGUGUAUGACCGCAUUCCAAUGUCGCUCCUGUGUGUUAGCCAUGAAUCUACUAACAAAACUAACUGAACAGGCAAGGUCAGGUCGAGUAUCCAUGAGAUAAAGUGAUUAGCCUACCGAAUGGCAGUAGGUCAAUUGAUCAAAUGAAAGAGAUUCAGAAUCAAGCGCCAAAGAUGAAUUUUUCAGGUAGAGGAGUAGAAGCAUGCCCACAAUCUUCGAGCUGAGCUUCAGAUAGGAUCUGCCGAGAAUAAAGCUGUUGAUGGAUCAUAAUUCCAGAUUUCAGCAUAAGAAAUUCAAACCCAAGGGACCGUUUGAUGAGUUCUAAGGUUUUCAUUUCACAUUACAAAUAGAAUUAAGCCGUAAUAACAACAAUUUUUGAGUCAAAAUUGCUUGUCAGUUGCAGGUCGUCAACAUAGAGAAGGACAACAACAAUAUCAGAGCGGUUCCGCAAAUAGUAGAGGUUAUAAUCAACAAUGCUGCGAGACCAAUUUUGAGCUAGUAUAUACAAAUUGAUUUUAGCGUACCAAGCUCUGGGGCUUAGUUUUAGCCCAUAAAUUGAGCCGUUCAAUUUGCACACUAGGUUUUCUUUCCGAGGUGAAAUGAAUUCGUCAGGUUGCUGCACACAGAUGGAUUCCUCUAGUUUUCCAUUGAGAAAUGCCCUUACUACAUCAAGAUGCACAAUGUUCCAUUCAAAACAAGCUGCCCAUGAGAUGGCUGUUUGCAGCGUAGACCAUCUCACUACAAAUGCAAAAGUUUCAGAAUAGUCAAGUCUAGGCUUAUGUUCAAAGCCCCUGGCUACUAGUCGAGUUUUAAGAUGUCGUUAGAGAGGAUGCAAGUCGAGUUUCACCAGGAGGACCCAGCAACUAGAUGAAGCUUUCCGUCCUAGGAGCAAAGGAACUAAUUUCCAAGUUUUAUUUUUAUUGAGAGAAUGUAGUUUCUGAAUAAUUGUAUCUCUCCAAUGAGGGUGCAAUGAAUAAUUGUAUCUCUCCAAUUGUAUCUCUCCAAUGAGGAGUGCAUCUUAAAAUGAUACAUUGUCUUUGAAGCUUUCCAGGAUAUCCUCAGAACAUGCUGAAGAAUUGGAAGCACUGAGAUACAAAUAAUAGUCUUUGUAUAUGGAUGGUAAUCCUAAUGUAUAAUAAGGACUGAGCUAUGGUGGUGAAACCGGAGACGAGUGGAAGUGACCCUUGAGGUGAAAUUGGUGGAGACUAGUUGUAGAAGUUGUCAGUAAGUGCAUGCGGACCUGGUGAUAAAAUAGUUGGCACAAUGUUAGUCUUGGCCUGGUCCUGAGCAAUAGAAGGUAGUAAAACUUAAGAAGGUGUUGAUUUGUGACAAAAAACCUAGUUAGUGUAGGCAUUUGUCAGAAGAAGGGAAAAGAUAAUAAAUGGCACAGGAGUGUGAAUGUUGUUUGGAUAUUUCUUAAAAAUGACACAUCUCAAUUAAUUAACAUUUUCCUUAUGAAGUUAUAAUACACAUAUGCUUUAAAAAUCUCAUCAUUGGCAAUUAUAAUAGAAAGAAUGAAUUUGAAUUUAAGCUUAGUUUGUCAUUUUUUUAGAUAUAUGGAAAAAGAUUUGUUAUCCAAUGAUAGCUAGAUGUCUAAUAUUUGGUUUUGAUUUGUAAA
Molecule: long non-coding RNA, 1943 nt
Filed under: Physcomitrium patens
Lineage: Eukaryota; Viridiplantae; Streptophyta; Bryopsida; Funariales; Funariaceae
Description: long non-coding RNA (PPAT_LNC007076)
Source: RNAcentral